This 77-nucleotide transfer RNA is filed under the name Acidimicrobiia bacterium. RNAcentral describes it as "tRNA-Met". It matches the Rfam family "tRNA". From Rfam's summary of the family: Transfer RNA (tRNA) molecules are approximately 80 nucleotides in length. RNAcentral also lists the same sequence under 2 other names. The record is from RNAcentral. Lineage: Bacteria; Bacillati; Actinomycetota; Acidimicrobiia.
GGGGCGGUAGCUCAGUUGGUUAGAGCACGGGACUCAUAAUCCCUCGGUCGUGGGUUCGAGCCCCACCCGCCCCACCA